This 462-nucleotide ribosomal RNA is filed under the name uncultured bacterium. RNAcentral's name for it is "partial 16S ribosomal RNA". It matches the Rfam family "Bacterial small subunit ribosomal RNA", at positions 28 to 507 of the family's 1533-position model. The record is from RNAcentral.
GACGAACGCUGGCGGCGUGCUUAACACAUGCAAGUCGAACGGAAAGGCCCUUCGGGCUACUCGAGUGGCGAACGGGUGAGUAACACGGGGGUGAUCUGCUCUGCACUUUGGGAUACGCCUGGGAAACUGUGUCUAAUCCCGAACUGGUCCGCGCGCUUCCCUGCGUGUGGUGGCAAGCUUUUGCGGUGUGGGGUGGGCUCGCGGCCUACGAGCUCGUUGGUGGGGGAUUGGCCUACCAAGGCGACGACUGGUAGCCGGCCUGAGAGGGUGACCGGCCACACUGGGACUGAGGUAGGGAGCAGACGCCUACGGGAGGCAGCGGUGGGGAAUAUGGCACAGUGAGCGCAAGCCUGAUGCAGCGGCGCCGCGUGAGGGAUGACGGCCUUCGGGUUGUAAACCUCUUUCGCCAGGGACGAAGCGCAAGUGACGGUACCUGGAGAAGAAGCACCGGCCAACUACGUG